Molecule: unclassified non-coding RNA, 406 nt
Filed under: soil metagenome
Description: partial contains 5.8S ribosomal RNA, internal transcribed spacer 2, and large subunit ribosomal RNA
Rfam family: 5.8S ribosomal RNA (bases 1-121)
Source: RNAcentral
GAUGAAGAACGUAGCGAAAUGCGAUAAGUAAUGUGAAUUGCAGAAUUCAGUGAAUCAUCGAAUCUUUGAACGCACCUUGCGCCCUUUGGCCAUUCCGAAGGGCAUGCCUGUUUGAGUAUCAUGAACACCUCAACUCUUCAUGGUUUUCCAUGAUGAGCUUGGACUUUGGGGGUCUUGCUGGCCUGUGGGUCGGCUCCUCUCAAAUGAAUCAGCUUGCCGGUCUUUGGUGGGCAUCACAGGUGUGAUAACUAUCUACGCUUGUGGUUUUCCACCAGGGUAACCUUCAGCAGUGGAGGUUCACUGGAGCUUACAAAUGUCUCUCCUCUGUGAGGACAGCCCUUUGAAUGUUUGAUCUCAAAUCAGGUAGGACUACCCGCUGAACUUAAGCAUAUCAAUAAGCGGAGGA